Molecule: transfer RNA, 76 nt
Filed under: Megasphaera micronuciformis
Lineage: Bacteria; Bacillati; Bacillota; Negativicutes; Veillonellales; Veillonellaceae
Description: tRNA-Ala
Rfam family: tRNA
About the family: Transfer RNA (tRNA) molecules are approximately 80 nucleotides in length. Their secondary structure includes four short double-helical elements and three loops (D, anti-codon, and T loops).
Source: RNAcentral
GGGGGUGUAGCUCAGCUGGGAGAGCACCUGCCUUGCAAGCAGGGGGUCAGGAGUUCGAAUCUCCUCGUCUCCACCA